Molecule: small nucleolar RNA, 127 nt
Organism: Onychomys torridus (southern grasshopper mouse)
Lineage: Eukaryota; Metazoa; Chordata; Mammalia; Rodentia; Cricetidae
Product: small nucleolar RNA SNORD22
Exons: 1
Source: RefSeq, a predicted model, not a curated record
UCUCAGUGAAGAGACAUUCACUUGUCUUACUUUCUACCCUCAACCUAGUUCAAAUGACAGGGUGAGCACAUCUGAGCUGGCUUGGGGAGAAGAGGAAAAUUCGUUCCAGCAGGAAUUGUUUGGGGAU